RNAcentral lists this non-coding RNA (28 nucleotides) under Rattus norvegicus (Norway rat). The record is from RNAcentral. Lineage: Eukaryota; Metazoa; Chordata; Mammalia; Rodentia; Muridae.
UGCUUCUGUGCUGGGAGAGCCCACCAAA